CUGACAUUUGGCAUCUGUGUUAAUCUCUUAAAUCCUGAUCAGCUAAUAAAAUUAUUAAUGUUAAGUCUGACCUAGUGUUGAUUGAGUCUGACAACAAACUAAUGGUUACAAUCGCUCCUUGUCAACUUUGCUAGAUGCACA
Long non-coding RNA from Etheostoma spectabile (orangethroat darter), 141 nucleotides. RefSeq lists it as uncharacterized. The transcript is spliced from 3 exons. The record is from RefSeq and is a predicted model, not a curated record. Lineage: Eukaryota; Metazoa; Chordata; Actinopteri; Perciformes; Percidae.